GGAAAACAUCAGUCCAACAUGCUGCUUGAACUUUCUCCAUUCUCCCGGCAAAUCGAGAGAGUCCCAAUCCAUGCGGGGCGACGGCACUCCUGUCGGUUCCAUGUCAUCUACAUCCAACUUCUCUACCGAUAGCUGUCUCUCCUACUGACUUCCUGUAUCCAAGCUAGGACCCCUCCCGGGCCACCUUGAGCAUGUAGUUGCCUAAACAGAUGCCUGAUUAAAAUGCCACUCAUCCAA
This is a long non-coding RNA of Nerophis ophidion (straightnose pipefish), 237 nucleotides long. RefSeq lists it as uncharacterized. The transcript is spliced from 2 exons. The record is from RefSeq and is a predicted model, not a curated record. NCBI's taxonomy places the organism in Eukaryota, Metazoa, Chordata, Actinopteri, Syngnathiformes, Syngnathidae.